GACGAACGCUGGCGGCGUGCUUAACACAUGCAAGUUGAACGGGCGAUAUUGGAAGUUUGCUGAAGAUAUCGUUAGUAGCGGACGGGUGAGUAAUGCAUGAGGACCUGCCUGCCGAGGGGGACAACAGUUGGAAACGGCUGCUAAUACCCCGUACGCCGAGAGGUGAAAGGAAUGGAGACAUUCCGCCGGGAGAGGGACUCAUGUCCUAUCAGCUGGUUGGUGAGGUAACGGCUCACCAAGGCGACGACGGGUAGCCGGCCUGAGAGGGCGACCGGCCACACUGGAACUGAGAGACGGUCCAGACUCCUACGGGAGGCAGCAGUGGGGAAUAUUGGGCAAUGGGGGCAACCCUGACCCAGCGACGCCGCGUGAGGGAAGAAGGCCUUCGGGUCGUAAACCGCUUUUGUACGUGAAGAAGCAGAUGACGGUAGCGUACGAAUAAGUCCCGGCUAACUACGUG
RNAcentral lists this ribosomal RNA (460 nucleotides) under uncultured bacterium. Its description in RNAcentral is "bacterial SSU rRNA". It matches the Rfam family "Bacterial small subunit ribosomal RNA", at positions 28 to 507 of the family's 1533-position model. The record is from RNAcentral.